Long non-coding RNA from Larimichthys crocea (large yellow croaker), 345 nucleotides. RefSeq lists it as uncharacterized. NCBI's taxonomy places the organism in Eukaryota, Metazoa, Chordata, Actinopteri, Sciaenidae. The record is from RefSeq and is a predicted model, not a curated record. The transcript is spliced from 3 exons.
CAGAAAUAUUACGUACUCCCACAGUUUUGGGAAUGUUGUGGAUUUGAUGGUUCUGUUAAUGCACCGUUAUCAUGUACCAGUACAGGUCAUACACACAGUGGGCAGCUGCAUAAAGAAAUAUUGCAGUUAUUGUAUAUUAUUUUUGAGAGGUGGGUGACAUCAGCGUACCAACACAUGCUGCCUCCUCCCUCUCUGCUGGAAUAUAAAAUGAUGAUAAAACAGCUGAUCUCAGAGCAGCUCCUGUGGUGUCUUUUGUUAAGAGACAUUGAAGCAGACGACUGAAGUUUGUUUCUGCAGCUCAACUAUCCGGCAAGGAAUCUUUUAAACUGUUGAGCUGCAAUGAGG